CAGUUACCAAUGAGGCCAAAGCGAGCCAUGUGACUAGGGGUCAGCUGGAUCCUUGGGGUGUGGCUCCGCGAAUCGGUCAAUCAACAGACACAGGCAGACUCCAGCUUCUAACGCAGGUUCAGGGCAGCAGGGGAAGGAGACCUGACGAGCUUGCCGACUUGGAGCGGAGUCACCAGCUCGGUGUUCGCUGAAAUAGCCUCUGAAACUUCGGAUGAAAGGACACUCGGAUUGAAAAGACAAGACAAACAAAAGCCUCAGUGAGAUAAGAAUUGCGGCUGAUGGAGUUCUGGCUAACUGAAGCAUCCUGCGGAAGGCUGCUUUUAUCCCUGUCACUCAGCAUUGGUUUAGUGUGUAUCUGCCAUCCCCACUGACAACCAGCGAGUCCUGUGUGUGGUCACGUUACCUUCUGGGGUGUGUCCGUGCCAGGGGAUAAAGGGGCCCAGCAGAUGGGUCUGUCCUUCCCUGAUCUCCUGUAGGGUCAGCAGCCCUUGGAGAGGAAGAGGACCUCAUGGGGCCGAGCCAGCCCUGCUCUGCCUUUGCAGUUUUCUGCGCAGUGAUCCCAGAAUUGAACCAUAAAGAAGGCUGAGUGUUGAAGAAUUGAUGCUUUGGAAUUGUGAUACUG
Long non-coding RNA from Bubalus bubalis (water buffalo), 622 nucleotides. RefSeq lists it as uncharacterized. The record is from RefSeq and is a predicted model, not a curated record. Lineage: Eukaryota; Metazoa; Chordata; Mammalia; Artiodactyla; Bovidae. The transcript has 3 exons.